Molecule: long non-coding RNA, 23436 nt
Filed under: Coffea arabica (coffee)
Lineage: Eukaryota; Viridiplantae; Streptophyta; Magnoliopsida; Gentianales; Rubiaceae
Source: RNAcentral
GCAGCAUCAUUUCGAUGUUGUAGGGUCCCAGGAUAAACCAUUUGUGGUGAUCGAUCCCUAAUAUGCAGAGUGGAAUGAAAAUUAUUUUUUGAAACAAACUCAUCCAAGAACGCCUGGAGGUAAUCUAUGAUAUCUUUUGUCCACUGCUCUGAUCGCGAAAACUGCGUUUUGUCAGGCACACCACCAGACAAAUUGGAAGAGCCAGGCCGUACCUGCAAGGUGAAACCAUAAUCUGCUAAGUUCAACAGUAUAUAAUAAAAAAAUAAUAAUUCCAUAACAAUAUUGCAUGGAGGGAUACUCAAUACCUGAUUAAGAUAAGUCACUUUCACAAACCAAGUAGCUCUGAGUAGUGGAACAUUAUUCCUAAUGAGAACUUCAAGAAGAGAUUUCCUCCGGUAACCAUGAGGAACAUGAUCAGCCAAAGAACACAAUCUUUUAUGCGGUUGAGAUAAUCCCUGGGAAAAUGUUCAAAUAAUGAGCUAGCAGACACUAGGGUUACAAAAGAAAAGAGCUUUAACACAAGAGACUCAUGCAUCUGCAUAGGAUAUACAGUUGCUCAAGUUAGAGUUUUAACCUCAAAAACAUGCCAAUGAAUAGCGUAUUUUGUUUACUAGUCAAGUAAAUCCCCUCCCCUGCUGUAUAACCCUACAGGUCACCCCAAAGCUUCAUUAUGCAUUUCAUCUUCUCCAUAGGGAAUGAAAUAUGGAGGAAGCAUUUAACAGUGGCAACAGAUGUAUCAAAGCAGGUCCCCAGGACCGUUCAAUUAUGGACCUAAGUACACUAGAAAGGCCCAAACAUGGCUUUUGGACACAAGACUCUACAUAUCCUUUACAGUCAGUUUCAAUGUUGCCCUUGCAAAUGCAUAUCCAAUUUUUCAAUGUAAAAAAUACUACAAUCAUAUAUUUUCCAAAUGUAUAUCAUAUUUUACUCAUGUAACACUACGUUUUCUUAGUGUGCAUCUGUGUGUUUUAUAGUUUAUAAACAACAUGUCCACCAUCUACUUUUACAACAGACACAGGAGGAUAAUUAAAGACAACAAUGGGAAUGAAUCUUUUGUCACUGUGGUAUCAUCCACACAAGGAACUAACAUUCAACCAAAAUGUUAGUAGCUAAGCUCUUUUCCAAAGUUUUAAAAUUGUCUGUGCCUCCUUCAGUCCUUGAUUGAUUUAUUAAGCUCAUUUUCAAUAAAUUCCCAGUGAUUCUGCUUAUAACAAUGGGAUAGCCAUCAUGAAUUAAAACUUUAAACUUGGAGGGUUUACACCCAAUAUUCUUUUCAUUCAAUAUACAAAAAUUCAGGUUAUUCAAUCCCCUAAAAUAGCAAGCCAAUGAGCAACACUGAUUUUGUGGUACGAGCAUAUACCCUAUAGGAUCUGAGUGACAGGCUUAAAUAGAAGAACUUCCAACAUGUUUCAGGUUUGCAUAGAAUAAAAACACAAGUGUCAGUCCUGUUUACAUCCAUAUAAACAUCUAACAUGCAUAGGUAAUGACUGACAGAAUAAAUUGUUAGAGUAUAAACAAUAUUAAUUCCAGCUAACUAGGACACUGCACAUCAAAUUUAAUUCCAGCUAACUAGCACACUGCACAUCAAAUUUAACAUGCAUAGGGCAUAAAUGUUUGUUCAUAAUCUAUGACAAUUCAGACUCAAAUGAUUGAAAUAUAUCAACAUCAACUAGAAUUACACUUUUAUUAGUUCUAUAGGAGCCAUAUGCACAAUAGUCAUCUUCAACAAUAUUUUCUGUUACUUAUUCUUAAGAAUAAACUCCUACUAACUGUCAUAAACCACAAUGUAAAACUACGAAUGUCUAGAACAUGAUAACACCAAUCCAACACCCAGCUCAUCCUGUAGACUUCAGUACUAAAAGGAAAUAAACACAUUCUCGCACUAGCAUAUGCAAGAAAGCCAUAUCCAUGAACACACAAACCCAGAUGCAGAAAAAUAUUUAGUGGAGACUAACCUCAAUCCAUUUCUUUCGAAACUCUUCACCACAUGGUUUUUGCUCAGGAAAGGCGCCAGGUUUACUUAAAAGUGAACCUGAAAGAGGCACACCAUAAACUUGGCCCGCCUGCAAAAAUAGGAGCAUUUAUCCAUUUUAUGCUUUCAAAAUACUUCAUUACAACAAUCACAACAAUUUCCAUAAUUGUCCAGAUAAGUAACAAGUAGACAGGCUAAACCACCAACAAGUAAACAUUAAUUCAAAAAAGAUAGAGAUGGACAAUUUUCCCACAUUUCAGGAGACAUGCAGGACAGGUUUUUAAUUUAGCCAAGAUCAAUAUAAUCAGCUCAUCCAUCAAAAAGUCGGGAGGAAAAACAGCAUCACCUUUCGUUUUUGUGCACGGGACUCGUUAAUAGCCCUGUGACAUUUUCUUAUUGACUGCAAAAGAGCACAGAAACAAAGAGAGACGGUAUCAGGCAAGCAUUACUUCCAAGUCUAAUGAAUACCAAGCCUACAAAUGUGUAGCUCGUUGAAAAUAAAAGGGGAGACCGGUGACACCAUUAAACACAGAACAAUUACCUCCUUGCACUUGAGGAUGACUGGCUUUGUAAAAGCCUGAAUUUGUGAUAAUGAAGUCUCUCUAUUUUCCUGGAAACAUUAGUGAAGACAUAUCCCUACUGAGGUACCAACUCCAAUAAAAGAAAAAAUAAAGAUUGCAAUAAUCAUAUCCAUACAACCAUAAAAUUCUAAAUAGAAGACACCCAAAAAGUUACCUCAAUCCCUUCAACCGUCUCCCUGUAACCAGACUGCACAUAGUCCCUGGUCAACGUCUCCUCAGGACAAGUAGGAGUCUGGAGGUGAAAGUCAGGCGGCCCAAGCCUGUCAAAUGGUACCCAAUUAAUAAAUUAACACUGGUUGUCAUUGAUGAUGAUGGUACAUAUAGAAACAAUCUCAGAUGAAAGGACAAAAGAUCUACAAUGGGCAAUCAUAAUUUCAACAGAAAUUACCUGGAAUUCAAUGGUUCUUUAUCACACCUCAGUUUAUAUGGAGUUAAAGGUAACGGUCGCCUGAAGGAGCAAUAUUAAAAUCACUAAGCAUGUCAGCGGUAUUUUAAUUGGAAAAACUAACCCAUUUAUCUCUUAGGAGCAAAAUAAAUAGGGGAAACUAAAAACCCUAAUUCAGUUACAGUAUAAUUGAAAUAGCAGAAUGAAGCUAAACAAUUAGAGAAUAAAAUAUAUUAUCUUGAAAUCUGUUUUAACAUUGAGAGAGAUGGGUUCUCUAGAUAUGUGCCAAAUGCAACCACUUGAAAAAAGUUAAUCAGACACAUUACCCCAAGUCAAUGACUACAGAAGAGUAAGUCAGCAAGACUAAUCUGGAAAUUAUACAGGAUUUUGCACACUAACAUCCAACUAAAGGCAUUUCCCAUACAAGAAAGCGAGCUGCUAACUUAUAUAGAAAAUUAUUAAUAUGCUAUGACUAUGAAGCCAAUUUCUGCAGAUAUGAAAGAACCAUAGGACAAGAUGCCUCGAGUUAAGAAGACAAAAGAGCAAGGGAGCAAGAUUUUUAAAGAAAUAGUCGUGGACCAAAAUAAUUCCAACUAGAGGCUACUUGCCAUACCCGCAACCAUCAUCAAAAUUUUAUACACUUCUUUUAAAGGAAUCAAAAAGAAAGAAAACAUCACCACGAUAACAGUAACAUGAUUAAGAUAUUUGAACAGCUCAAUCACAAGCAAUAAUGAGUUCCAAAGCACUACAAACUGAAACAUCUUAUCAUCACGUUACCAGCAGACAACAAUGUUGAUUCAUCAGGACUCCGAGAUAACAACGUUGAUUCAUCAGUUCUUUACAAAUCAUACUAGCAAUCUAUUCAAAUCGGUGCAAUUUUAAUUUUAAACCAAGCCUAAAAUUUUUUUAAUUACCCCAUUUAAAAAAAAAGGCUAAGUACAGUAAAUAUCCUUAAACCAGGUGUCUGUGAUAUAAUUAGUUUUCACUGAUGUGACUGCUUCUACCUCUCCUUUACUUAAAUCACCAUACAAUUAAAUAAAGAAAUUUCAAGCACCCUCACAAGAUACAUUUUUCUAAGCGAAACCCUUUCCUUUUGUUUCUCAUCCCUCUUGAAACAGAACACUAGACUUUCAUUUCCAUUCUAAGUCAAAACACAACGAGUGAGUAUUACAAUCUUCUCUUUUCCAUUGCUUUCUUUCCAGUAAGUGGAAUUUUGUCCUCUCCUUUCUUUUUUCUUAAACCUAGACAUACCCCAAAGGAAAUCCCAUAAAAUAUGACUACAUUAAAAUUCCAAUUACAGAUUUAACAUGAAUAACCACUGCAACAGCUGGAUACUCAUAAUCGUUUUCACUUUAAUUAAUCCUCCGAAAGUACAUUUUGAUCAGAUCUGAACUAGUGAAUUGAAUACCCAAAGUCAUGCCUCAAAUAGGAUAAAUUAUAGCAUUUCUUAACCAUCCAAGUUAACAUGAACUAUUGAUUCAGAAAUCUUUGGUCGUAAAUAUGUUUCCAGUUCCAGCUUCUCAUUGUUUCCAUCUAAAAAUCACUAAUGCUCAAAAUCAUCCUAACCAGAAGAUGAUAGGAAACCAUUAUUGAUCAAACAGCAACAAAUUCUUUACUGAGAAUGAAAUGAUAAACUGGAUAUCAGAACAUUUGGGCAUAGUAGCAUGCACUACUGCAUGUUGGACAUAACUACAUGAUAAUAUAAUAUGUAAUGAUCCCAAAAGUUUUAAAAGAAAAGAAAAAUUAUCAUUGGUUAAGCUUCUAUAUGCUUUGUGUGUAUCAAGCAUUUGCAAUGAAGCAAGUAUAAACAAGCAUGAAUUGCAUUUAACAUGCUUGAGCAAAAAAUUAAGAGCCCGUUUGGAUUGCUAUUUGUUGGAAUUUUUGUUAAAAAAAUACAUCGUACCUAUUUGAUGCAUGUGAGGUAAAAAGGUGAUUGAAAACUGUGUUCACAAAAAAUGUAAAAAUCUUUCAGGAAAAAAUGGCAAUCCAAACAAGACAUAAGAUUCUUGUACCUAGAAUUCAAAGAAAAGUUUGACGGAAUGGAAGAUGACUCAGCUCGGGAAACAUCCCUAGCAGAUCCUCCAAUGGCAGUGUUAUUGACUGCACUAGUGCAGCUGGCAGCAUGAUACCUUUGCAUGUCUCCCAGCUAUCAUCUGCAUGCUGCCUUCAGCAUUGAACCUCAGCAAGGUUUAUGCUGGUCAAACUGCAAUAAAGAGCAUGAAGGAUAAAAAAAAAUUAUAAACAAUCAUAAUUAUAUUAGCCAUAGAAUUUAGCAUUAAAGAGCAGUUAUAAAUGACACAAAAUGUAUUUUAGGGCACAGAAGUCAGAAGAACAGCCAGACCGAAAAGACGAUUCAACAGAAGUUCCAUCUCAACAAUUUAAACAACAUAGGGUCAAACUUGUCGGUUGUGAUAAGCAUUAGCACUUUAGACAUUAAAAAGUGCAAUACAGAAUUGAUUUUUCUAAGACUGAAGAAUUUGAUUUCCCAUGGUAAGAGGUCAUCAAAGAAAGGAAAAAAGGAAUUGCAAAUAACUGAUUAAGAGAAAAUUAGAGGCUAAGAAAUUGUCAUUAAUUGCUAAGACGGACAUGACAACAAUUUGUAACUACACGACAAUUUAAAAUUAAUGCAAAUUUCUCCAGAACCUUAAAGCCACUAUUCUUCGUUGCAAAAAGCAUGGUAAAGCUUGAACACAAUAUAGGAGGAUAAAUACAACAGUGUUCAAGAUUAAAAGCCGGAUUUGAAACCCUAGAGAACCUCGCACAAGUGACAGAAUAACUUUGGACACUGAGAAUGAUAGGUCAAUCACGCAAUGAAGCUACUCCAAUUAAUCUUUGGGCGUCAUUGACACAUGACACCCAAAGAAAUGUACGAAUUGAUUCUUUACCCACACUCAGAAGUUGAGCGCUUUAACAUUUAAUGACAUUACUACUAUUGUGUCUCAGAGUGAUUUAUUGAUCCUAGCAACUGAGCCACUAUAAAAUUGCAUUGUACCAUCACAAAACGUUCAAGUUUUAAUCACGUAAUGAAUCCAACAAGACCUUUGCAAGAAGUGAGCCCACAACAUUUCAUAACCAUCUAAAACAAAAAAGAACAGCCCCACCCUCGACCCCACCCACGAGGAAGUAGAAAAACUCACGAACCUGACCUUCCUUUAGCAUAAAAAUCAAGGCUUCCUUUCACUUUUAAAGAGAAGACCACAUGGAGUUCCAGCUAACUAGGGCAUACAAAAGUCCUCUACUUAAAAAUCACACAGAUUCAUCAGAUGAGUGAGUGCCAUAGUCCAGCUUUCCACCCUAUAAUAAACUCUUAAACGCACCCAAAACUAGUUAGAAAAACAAAUUCACCCUUCUUCACAGUCAACGUAUCGAAAACUCCAAUGCAGGUCCAAUCGCUUCCACUGGCAAAGCAAAACACACAUUUUUCUAUAAAGACUCUCCAUCUGUUUAGUUGGCACAAAGUUCCAAAACUAAAUCCCAUCUACGGCUAAACAGCUACACUACCACAUAUACUACUGAAAAGCAUUCUGAUCCAAGAAAAUUCAAGAAAAGAAAAAAGACCCAAAAAAAAGAAUUCCGGGCAACCACAGCUGAAAUGUGUAAGAACCAAUCUAAAAACCCCCCCGCCAUCAAAUCAACCACAUUCAAUCUUGCAAAUUUCCAAAUCCCACUGAAUCCAAUUAUACACAACUGCAUAAACUGAAAGGAACAGACGGAAGAGCAGAAAACGUAAGAACAACUUAACCUAAAUUUCUUAGAUUACCUUAGAAAGUACAUUAAGAAAAAAAUAGAAACUACCGAAUAUCUCAAGCGGAAUGGUUGUUUCGAUUGUAAAGUUGAAACGAGCUGAACAAAUUCCAAUCACUAGGGUUCAAGAGGAGGUUUUUCAAGAUUAGGGUUUUCACUAAUUGAAGAAAGAAAGAGAAAGAAACUGGUAGAAUGGGAGAGGAGAGAGAAAAUAAGUAGAAAUUCAAUGGAAAUCAGAAGGCGAUUGGGAGAUUUACUGAAUUAGGAUUGAAAUAUCGAGCGAUGGGCAUGUACAUACAAGUGCCUGUAUCUAUGUAUGAAAAUGUAUAUUUAGCCUAUUUUUUUGACUGUUUGUAUAGGUCGAUGUAUAGAUAGAGAGAGAGAGAGAGAGAGAGAAGGCUCUGGGGGCUGGGGAGUGGGGGUUGAUGGUUUGACUCUUCUUUCCUUGCUGCUUUUGCAGAUGAUGACGAUGAGCGCUAGGGGGAAAAAAAAUUAAAAUACGAAAACAUAAUAGAAAUGGAGAAAACUUCUUUUUCUUUUUGAAUAUAUAUAUAUACUCUUAAUAUUUCUUGAGUUUUUAGCGGGGAACAAGAAGUGGGAAAUUUUUAAUAUUUGGGAUUACCUCAAAAAUUUAAUUAUCUUUGCUAAAUUUGUUAUCAGAAAAAGGCAAAAUGAAGGCAAUAUGAAUACUCAAAAAAAUGAUAUGUAAAUCAAACAAACCAUUUGCUCCUGCUUUAUAUAUAUAUCUACUUUUUUCAAGAAUAAUUUUCCUCGAUUUUUUUUUUUGUUACUAUCUUACUACAACAUAAUUUAAUAAAUUAUUGAGGUAGGUAACUUUUUGAAGUAACUUAUCACUCUGGAUUUUCUCAUGAAUGAAGUUGAUGAAAUUGGCCUUUUUGCUUGAGGUAAAUGAGAUGUUUCUCUUCUUUUUCUUUUUUUGUUUGUGGGGUGGGGGGAAAGAAAUAAAGGCUGGGACUUUGGACUUGGGAGGGAACUGUUUCAAAACGGCAUUCACUCAGCAAAGCCAACAGCUAUAGCCAUCGUUUUCAAAGCAGCAUCAAUUCUUCAAAUUCAAAUCAUCAGCCAAACCAUUAAAGGUAGCAUAAAAGAAUGGUUUUACCGUUGCUUUUUUCUCUUCCAGCCGUUAUCUUCAGAAUUUUUAAACCACCAGUAUGUUGGCUUCUGUUUCUCCCAAGUCAUGCUUGGUCUCCUUGGAUGACUUGCUACUUUGUCAAGAAAGUUGCUGCAUGUUCAGUGUGAUCAGUGAAUAAUUUCAAAGUUCAGCUAAGAAAAAGACAGAGCAGAUUCUUUUUUUUUUUUUGCUUUUUCUUUUUCUGGAAAGCAAUAUAUGAAAUGCUUUUGUUUUGGAACUCAAGAAUUCUAACAUUUUGAAGUCAGUUCCCGGUAGAUUUAGUUUCAUAAAAAAUGCAUCCUCUCUUCAAGUACUUUUGCCUGAAAUUGAGUUUACAACCUUGACAUCUGCAGCAGCAGUCUAGAUAAAGGGGGAAGACAAGGGAUCAAAUGGAUAGCGUGGGCAAUUCGGAUGAAACUUGUGAUCUGGGAUAUCAACCUUCACAAUCUUCUUUAGAUCAGAAUGAUCAAUCAUCGUCAACCGAAGCCACCAGCUUUUCGUUGCAGAGUGGCUAUUCUUUCUGUAGAACUAACUCAGACGUCUCAGCCUUCUCUGAACCUACAGAUGACAACAGCAGCACCUUUUCGGAGACCCCCUCUCCCUUAUGUUGGCCAGGAAUGAAAUCUCCCAAAACUCCUGUGCUUUCAAAACUAGUAAUGCAGCAACAAAACCCUGCUGCAGAUGAUGAGACAGAGAAUGAAGAUUUAGGUGGGUUCUGCAAGAUUGAUUCUUUUCCGUCCCUUUUCUUUUUGGUUUCCCUAGUUUCCUAACUGCGUUCGAAAUACUUGUAGAGCUUGACAUGAUGAAGGAAAGAUUUUCGAAGCUGCUAUUAGGCCAAGACAUGUCCGGAAGUGGGAAAGGUGUCAGCACUGCUGUGGCAGUAUCAAAUUCCAUAACAAAUCUUUAUGGUACUGCUAUGUUAAACGCUCCUGUAGUUGGGCCAGAUUGACUUCUAUUACUUCAAUUCUGAUGCAUGUUUUAUUUUUCUGAUCUAGUAUCUCAAUUUUGUUUACACCGUGCAGCUUCUAUAUUUGGUCAACAUCUACGAUUAGAACCAUUACAUCCUGAUAAGAAAUUGAUGUGGAAGAGAGAAAUGAAUUGCUUUUUAUCCAUCUGUGACCACAUAGUAGAAUUUGUCCCAGCAUUACAUGAUUUACAAGAUGGGACUGCUGUUGAGGUGACGACUCUGUUCUUUUAGUUUUUAUUUUUUGUUUCAUUUAUUUAUUUUUGGUAUUGGUUACUGGGCAAAGGUUAGGCAGAACAGGGGCUGAUGAUCUUUGUUCCUCCAGGCUAGUAUAGGCAUUGAAGGUUGGCACUACCAUUACCAUUAGGCCAAGACCUUUGGCCUCAAUAAUGUCAUCUAUGGAUUCCCCUCUUUUACGCUAACCAAUAUGGUUCUUUGCAUGUUUAAUUAAUUAACAUGAUGGGUAUAUGAUCAACUUUCAGGUGAUGACUAGUAGACCGAGGUCAGACAUCAGCGUCAACCUUCCUGCACUGAGAAAACUUGAUGCAUUGCUCCUGGUAAAGACUGCUACUGUCUGUCUGCUGUUAUAAUCAACAUUGAUCUUUGAAAAAUGACCCAAAUUUUCUGUUUUGUGUCAAAUCUGAUAGCUGAAUUCAUAUUGCGUGACAGGAAGUAUUGGACAGCUUUGAGGAAACUGAAUUUUGGUAUGCUGAACAGGGAAGCAUGUCAGGAAAGUCACGGUCAGGGUCAUUUAGGAGGAUUCCUGCUCCUCAGCGCAAAGAAGAAAAAUGGUGGCUACCAGUCCCAUGUGUUCCUUCUGGUGGCCUCUCUGAGAAGUCAAGGAAGCACCUGCGCCACAAGCGUGAUUGUGCCAACCAAAUACACAAAGCUGCCAAGGCUCUUAAUAAUAGCAUUCUUGCUGAAAUGGAGAUCCCUGAUUCCUACAUGGCAUCACUUCCUAAGGUAGUCAUAUUAUAAAUCAGAUGAAGCUACUGCAAUUCUUUAACGGUAAUAUGACAAUAAAAGUCAGCUGUCUAACUGUAUUUUCUGUGUAUCAAUGCCCUACUCAGAGUGGAAGAGCAAUUGUUGGAGAUGCAGUGUACCGCUAUAUGUGCAAUGGGGAGAAAUUUACACCUGACUUGCUUCUGAACUGCCUUAAUCUGGGCUCUGAACAUGAAGCACUCGAGUUCGCAGAUAAGAUUGAAGCUUCAAUGUACACAUGGAGGCGUAAAGCAUGCAGCAUGACACACUCGAAAUCAUCAUGGGACCUGGUUAAAGACUUCAUGUCUGAUAUCGAUCGGACGGACAAGAAUCAUAUCCUAGCAGAACGAGCUGAGAGUCUGUUGUUCUGCUUAAAGCAAAGAUAUCCUGAGCUUUCCCAAACAUCAUUGGACGCAAGCAAGAUUCAGCACAACAGAGUAUGUAUCUCCAAAAUCCACAUUUGUCCUUCCCAAAACAUUAUACCAGUUUCUUGUUUUUUAUAAUGAUCUUGUUUACAUUCAGGAUGUAGGGAAAGCUAUCCUGGAGAGUUACUCUAGAGUAUUGGAAGGUUUGGCCUUCAACGUCGUUGCUUGGAUUGAGGAUGUCCUAUUUGUGGACAAAACUACACGAAACCAAGAUCAGUAGGAUCAUAUUGACGGGGUGUUAUCAAAAGCCGAACUCAGUUUCUGUCAAGCUGCACAUUUGCAAACAGCAAGAAAGGAUCUUUUUGACUGACAGCUACAAUAGGAGAAAAUCAGUUCAUUACAUCAAUAACUAGCUAGUAAUGCUAAGAUGUCAAUCACUCUUAAAUGCAGUCUCGAUUCUGAUUUAUGACCCAAGAUUUAUUACCAAUCCCAGCAGUCUAUGAUUUGUGCUCUUCAGAAUUUACUUUCAUUUUGUGAUUAUACUGCUACGACUUUAGGGAAUGGAACUCGCUAGCUAAUUAGAUAUCCUCUAAAAUGAGGAUGGCAGAAAGAAGCAAAAACCAUUUGGAUAAGACAAUGAAAAUGUUCAUUGCCAUUUUUAAGAUACUUGGACCAAUUGGAACAAUGCUUAUUUCUGUGAAGGCCAUAAGGCAGUUCCUCUCUUUGAUUCGACAUUCGAGGAGAAAAAUUUACAGCAAAAGCAUUCAAGUUGCUCUUAAGUAUCACCCUCCAACCAAGCAGAUUGAGCAGUUGAGCUGCUUCUUCCCUUGUCCUCUUUACCCAGAAGAAAAGAUGAUUUUGUUCCAUAAUCCACAGUAAAACAGUGGAUCAACUAUGUUACUGACAGCAAUCUACAGCCCUCACAACUGGCCCUAUAAGAAAAAUAAAGGGUGGAGAGUAUUUGCCUCUCAAUUAAGUAUCAUUUGAAGUCCUGUCUUAGCCUAAACCUGUAUUACCAGAACAAAAACAUACCUCAAGUCUCCGGAGUACAGUGCUGGACUGCCGGGAGGACGAAACAAUUCUCUCUUAAUUUCCUUAAGUGAAAAUCAGUACAUACUAAAGGCCAACGGCAAUGUCUAUGUAUAUUACCAAAUCCAGCACAAACUGACCAGUCCUAGACAAAAGAUACUGAGACAUUUCUCCUCUGAUACGUGCAUCAGACAAUUAGGCACUUUAGAAAAUAAUAACUGGCCAACAAGGCACAGGACAAGCGUGUGUAAGAAAUACAUGAUGCGUUCGUUUGAGGUGCCCAAAAGGGGCUUUGGAUGGUAGCAAAGGAUGGAUAUUUGCUCUUGGUGGUGACAACCCGUCACUGCAUUUUGCUCCACUGCUGCAUACAUUAUUUUUGCAGGCAUUGUUCACAUAGAAGCUUAUACUAAGAUUAGAUUAUAAGCAUCUUGACAGACUUUUGCGUCUUUCUUUGGAAUUCGAACAAAACAAGUAGUCACACUCUUCAUAAAUAUAAUGACCGAGACCAUACACAUCUAUGCAUUUCAUUAAAAAUAUGAAAGUCUCUGGUGUUAUUUUUGAAGAAUUUUAUGCCUUUUUGUGCUUGGUGAAGUUUGGACAAGCCAUGACAAGCACAAUAGCGGAAGUCUGGCAGAGUUCAAAGUACCACAGUUUAUACCAUAGGCCAUUGCUGUACAAGUCCGAUAAUGCUCUAGGCAGUUAAUUGGAAGUUAUUAAUGACAAAUGUGGACAAAUAAUAACUGAGUAUCACUCAGAUAUGAAAGCUUCAAGCACGAGCGUAAGAUACCAGUUAGGUUCUUAACGUAAAUUGGAGAUCUCAAACUCAAGAUCUAUUACCUAUAUUCCCUCCCCCGUACCACCCAACCCAUCCCUUCCUCUAUUGAGCUUCUCAGUUGUUUACUACCUCUUUAACUCAAAUCAGAUGCAUUUGUUUUUGUCCCUUUGGGGUCAUCCAAUAAAAUUGGAACGAUAUAGAGAAGAUUAGCGUGGCCCCUGCACAAGGAUGACUCGCACAGAAGCAUUUGUUUGCUCUAAUAUUAAGUUUUUCAACAGCUGGGGUGUUGCGACGCCUUGGGGAAUACAUAAGCCCUUUUAUAAUCUGUACGUUGUUGCAUGGAUUUCUCAAAUCUAAGGCUUAUCUAUGUAACUAAUUACAUUGUAAGAGCUGAGACAACUUUACAACUGAAGCGUGAAAUUGCCAAAUCAUAGCAAAUCCAUGCUACUUAAGGGUACAUAUCCGCAUACAGCAGAUCUUGCAACAAGACAGAGUAGCACAACCAAAUGCAUAAAGAGAAGACCAAAAGUAAAGCAACCAUAAUGUUGAGGCCUGUUUAAGGGUAUCGAAGAAUCAAAGGAGAAAAGACAAAAGUAAAGAAAACAAGAGAUCCCAAAACAACUAGACUUUGAUCCGCCAUGUACGAAUGGAAAUUUUCAAAAAUAUGUUUGUAUUAGCCUGUUUGGACAGAAGAACAUACUGAAAAUUUCGAAUCCCCCCUUUUCUCCUCUUUGUAAGAUCAGAGUCUCUCUUGAACCAAAAAAAAAUUAUAAUCCAAGAGAAAAAGUUAAGAGCUGGAGAGCUGGUCAAAGAUGUACCGCUCAAUUAUUCAUUUAGGAUGGAGAAGCCUAAAACCACGACUUUAAAAAGUAAUACAGAUGAUGGCGAAUCAAGUCGUUCCACCAAUCAGAGUCCCUUCUGCUCCAAAGUAAACAGGACAUAAACGCAAGUAAACAGCAAUAGAGAGGAACCAGCACAUUUGACCUGGCUUGAGCAGCCGGUCGGAGAAUAGACCUUAAGAAAAACUAGCCAAAAUUGUUAAGACAAUUGUGUAUCAAUACGUCUAGUUUGUGAUGCCAGGCUGUUACAAAUCCUAAACUAAAGAAGUCUUUGUUACAAAUAUGCGCUAAUACCUGUUCGCAUGUAAAAACUAGGAAAUCGGAAAGUAAACCCGAAACUUUUGUUACUUGGCCAGGCUUCAUGCAAAAUCUGCAAAAUCAGAAACAAGUAGCAUUUUUACGAAAAAUGACAGGCAAAGCAUGAGAGAGAGAAUAGAUAAGCUACAACAUUCUUAAGAUACUUUACUCAAUUUGCAAGAUGUAACAACAAGCGCUGAGCAUGAAAGAGCAGAAAAUCAUUUCUGAGACAUUCUACUCAUCCCAAAAGGGGGAAAUAGUUAUCCCUAUAUGUACAACAACUUCUGAACUGCGCCAAGAAUUGUGCUGUCCAGAAGGGGGUGAUCAAAGGGUUAGUUGUCAAUCAGGGCUGCGAGGUAAAAUGGACAGGCCGCCAAAGAAUGUCGUCCAUGACUCCACGUGACCCAGUCAGAACCCCGUGCACCCAAAAAGAAUGUGCCUUUAAGCAGAUGCCUUUGCUGCCAAAGGCAAUUAGAGCGACCCCGAUGGCCACUUUCCCGUCACGGAUGAGCGAGGACGCUUUCCUGCUGGGUGCUCCCUUUGUAUGUAAAUUCAAAAUUGAAGUACUACUCAUAUCAGCUGUCCUCAUCUAUUGCACCAAUGUAGGCGAGGUCAGUCCUCCUCACCCUAAUGGCCCCCUUGAGCCAGUUUGAUGCUCUCAAAUUAGCAUGGUCACUACCACCAAUAGCAGCAGAGUUGCUCGAAGAUUGCACACCCGUUCCAUCCUCCAAUAGGGUCCAAGGGUCAAUUUCCAAGUCCAGAUCUUGCAGUGGCAGUUGCUUAGCCUUCCCUGCCAUAUUAGCGACAGUUCGAACCAAAGAAACUGGAUUUCUCUGGGAUAGGAUUGAAUUGUGAGGCUGUAAAACUGAUAUCUGAUUGCUGGACUGGAGAGCAGCAAUCGAAGCCGGUGAUAUAGAUGGAGGUUGACAAGAGAUUGAGCACCGAACAGAUGGAAGAAGAAUUGGCAUUGCAGUUUGAAUUCGCCACCGGAUAUGGUCCGGCAUAUGCAUGCGGUUCAGAUCAUUCUGCAUUGAUUAAAAUUGUCAGAAAGCAAAAAUACAAGUAUCCUUGAUAAUUCUCCACUUACUAUCACAUUUUUCAAAGUCCAUACCCUAGAGUCAAUUUAGCCUUCAAAAAUAAAAGAAAUUGACGUGUCAACCAUGGAGCAGAAGUCCACGAGAAUAUGAUGUUCAAACCAAAAAAUUUGAAACUUCAAUACAUUAAUCGCAAGGACUGAGAACUUUCCAUUUUUUGGAAGAAAAGCAUAAGCAUUUGUGGUGUAAAUGUAGUCCUCAUAAACAGCGUGCAUCGAUGAUGCAGCUUAUAAAAAUGGAAUAGUACUGAAUGAACUAAAGAACUCCUCAAUAAAAAGCUAAUCACAACUCAUAUAUUAUGCCAAAGCAAUUUGAAAAGGAGGUCCUUUGACAUGCAUUCCCCUCAGAUCAUGUUAUAACAUUUUGAACAUGAAGCAAAACGCAAAUCUGAUAAUGGAUUGCUUAUCUUGUACAAGUACUCCAUCAGAUAAAUCUUCUGGUUUUCUGUGUUUAUCUAAUAUAUGUGUUUUUGGGACUAAUACUUUUGCAAUAAAAGGUAAAUACAAAAGAAAAUCAAAUAAUAAGCUGCGUCCAGUAAAUGAAUUUCAGAUUGUAUGCAGUCAACCAAACCUGCAGAUUCUCCGCCACCUCACGACCAAAAACACUAAAGUCCUUGCCGCACUCGGAGGCGGACUUGGAGUUAGAUUUCAACUUCAGCCAGCUAGGUCGAUAGCUGCUCAGCAGUCCAUGUAGCAGCAAUAACAAACAAUCGAAAAGACUUUCCCCAGAUAAAAGUACAGAUGUAGCAGAAGCCUCUGUAAGCGACUCGACAUCUCUCUUGGAUAAAUUCAAAGUUGAACUUGUGGUAUGGCCUGCAGCUUCAUGGACAACUCUACAUCCUAGAAGGCGUAAUAUAACCGCAGCAAGCAUCUGUCUCAUACUCUUUCCUGGCUCCCUGACAAGUCCAAAAUGAAGCUUAUAUUAACAAUAAGCAAUAUAGCUAGAGAUGAUUAGUUUCAUCACAGACAUGGAUGCAUUCAGCAUAACCAAGAUAUAUGGUAAAUCAACGCACUCAACAUUAAAGAAUGGGGGACAUAGUACAUGCACAAGUUAUUGGCAGAAAAAAUCCUUCCUAGAGUUAGAAAACUUGCACAAUACCUUCUACCAUUGACCAGUAAUUGAAAUUUCCCUUCCAUAAACUGUCCUUUAUCCAUGUGACAUAUUAACUUCAUCAUCAAUCAAAACUAUUUUUAACCUUAAAGUUUCAAAUAAAUAACGCCCUGGCAUUUGCUUCAUAUUAGUAAAAUCUGGGUAGGAGAACAUGCAUGGAAAGAUUCCGUCUUAAACAAAAUUCAGCUGGAGCAUGCAAAAGCAAUUCAGGACUUUUAUAUUGAGAAUGGUCUCCAAGAAGGGGUAAUAUGCCCUCAUGAACAAAUUGUGUAAUCAGUUUACAGAAUUACCCAUCCGUGCACAUAGUAGGAAGUAGUCUUAGGAGAAACUGCAAGCGCAAUGACAUGGAAGCUCGCAACCCCGCUGGGGAAGAUGGUACUCCAUCAGCUGGUCCCGCAGGUCGUCUGGAAUUGGAUAAUCCAGGACUCCCACCUCUCAUACCUUUUCGGCUAUUGCCCUUGCUUGCUGGGCUUUCUGCUCCAGAUGCAACUGAUCCAACAGAUUUAGCUGCUCCAUGAGAAAGUACAUUUAUCUGCUGCUCAAUGUUAUUCAUCUGUUUGAUCAUGUCAUUUGCAAAGGUGUUUCUUGAGGCAUCAGAGCCUUGAUCCACACAAGGCAGAACUAAUUCAAUAAAUGCUCUCUCUGUCACAUGCUGCUGACUCACCAAGAAACCUUCAACAUCCACAACUUGAGUGGAUCCUCUUCCAGGAAAUCUCACAUCUGAACCUUCAUCAACCACCUCACCUUCUUCAAGAGAGGCGACUUCAAACUUCCUCUUGCUUCCCCUUGUUUUCCGCGAAUCAGAGUUUGAAUCACACCACCCCCAUGGCUUCCAGAACUGCAGUUUAGUUGAUAGAUGUUCUUUUUCAGCAUUAAUGAUAAGCCGUUGCCGAAUUGAUUUCCUUCCAUAAAGAACAUCAGUGCCUCCAAGAAGCCAUUUAGUUUGCAUUAGCAUUUGGUCCUCAAGUGACCUUCCAAAAAGGUGCACAACCUCAGAAAAGAGUGAAGCAGCAUCUGGUCUGGCAAGUAACCUCAUUACAACGAGUUCAACAAAGCUGCUCUCUUUCUCAGAAACUGCAACCUUGUCAGCAUUCGGUGAAACUGAUUUAAUAGCCUCCGCCAAAGGGGCUUCAUUUUUCAGUUUAUCAAUGACUGUUUGUUCAUUCAAAAGAAGCCUAAGCUCAACCCACUGCCAGUGAAAUUUUGCAGGUUGUAAUGUAUCCAAAACAUGCACAAGCUUAUCUCUGAAAUUUGCAUCCUUCUCCUGAUAAUAGUUCUUUAGGCCACCUUGCCCUUGCAUCCUAUUAACGUCCUCUGGUUUAAGCAAUGACUGUGGCAUUCUACAGUCAAUAAGGGCAUUUAAGAAAAGCCGUGCCCUGAGAGGAACAAAGGCCAUGGAUUUGUAAAGAACGUCUGCACUAUGUGAUUCCAGUAAGGCUGCAAACUCAGAAUCAAUGGCAUCUGCAGCUAUGAGAUCAUAAAGGCCAUGAGUGUCUCGCAGACACACAUCACGGAACGGAAGGUGCUUUAAUGCAUCACCUAUCGCCAAUGCUAAGGACUGAUACAAUUGUUGGAGGUCAUCACGCAAGCCAACACCAGUAUUAAAAAUUAAUCCUUUCCAUAUGACAAAUGCAAAUAUAGAAUAGGCAGGCGGAAAGACCAAGUUCAGAGGAAGUGUUCUCUGCAUUCUAGAGAGACCUACAACUGACGCUUCACCCAAGAGCUCCACAAUAAAUCCAUCAGAAACAGUUCUGCAAUUACCUACAAGCACUCGAAACCAGUGGGUGGAAACUUCAACCAAAUUAUCCAGCUUCAGAGCCCCAAUGGAACGAGCACUCCCGUUUGAGUUGGAUUUCAAACUCCUGAAAAAGUGAAUUGGAUCAAGCCCUUCCCUUAAUCUGAAGAGAGUAACCAUUCUCUCAAGGCUAGUAACUCCCUGAAGAAGUGCCCCAACAAGAAGUGCAGAAAUUGCUCCAGCAAUUUUUGCCCCUCGUCCAAGUACACUUUUAACAGAACUAUUCAAGGCUUCAUAGGAGUUUGAACUAGAAUCAUGGGAUUCAGGAGAUGGAUGAAAUUGAGUGCGAGGAGCCUUUCCUGGCACAAACACUUGAGCAAGGGCAGUAGAAGCUUCAACUGCAAGAGCAACCUCAAAGACACGACUCUGACGCUCACCAAGUGCAUCCUUCAGCAGGCACAAGCAAGUUGUAUGGAUGCGUAAAAUGCGUCGAGCAAAAUGCAUUGAACUGGAUGUGGACUGGAAAUUUAGGUGAUUGCCAGCAGUUAAGUCAGGAAUUUUAGCAAUAACCAGUCCAACAUUACUGACAAUUGCAGAAAUAGCAGAGGAUACCAAAGUAGGAUCACCUUCCUGAGCAGCACCACCAGUUUGCCUCAUGCACUCCAUUAAUCCCAUUACUAUUUGUUGAGCUAUUUGAUAACCAUCAUCCAAGUUUUCCAAGACAGGGCUUUUUACUGUACCAGGCCCAAAAAGCUUUCUUUCUUUGCCACAAAAGUAUUGAAAAACUUCAACAACUUGCCUUUGUACUAUAUCUCUCAUUGUCAAAGCAACUCUGGACACCCGUACACCACUUAUCUUGUGACGGAAAAAAUCAUCAAGAUCUUCAACUCCUGCAGGAACUCCAAGUGGGAAGCCAAACUCCGCAUCAGGCAAUCUUCCAGAUUCAAGCUCAGAAAUGAGUCUUUUAUCAUAAGAUGAUUUAAGGUUUUUCUCCCAAUCAACAACACUAGCCACGUUUCCGUACUUCUUCACCAAAUUUCUUGCAUAAACCAAAGCUGAAGAACCUGAAACCCUUCCGGUAGAGGCCAUUGUGGCUGCAACUCGAUGCAUUGCAGCUUUCAAGGUUUCAGGAACAAGAUCUGCGGCUACGAUUAUAUUUUCAUACCUAAAACAGAACAGUAUAAAUAGUUCACUUCAUCACCCUCACGCAUUAUAUAUCUUCAUUGAAAGAUGUAUACCAACCAGAAACUCAAGUUUUAUCAUAGUUUUGAGAAAGGAUGGACUUUAUUAUCUAUAAAUCAGAACUAUGAAAUUUGGUAUUGGAAGCAGACAAUGCAACAGGGAGUACAAUGCUUGAGCUUAUAUUCAAUGGCUUCAAAUGUCAAAUGCUUCCACAAAAUAAAAAGAAUAAAAAUCACCAAAGUUUUAAGAAAAAAUACUACUACCCAGGUCUUAAGAAUUAUUUAUCACAUGAAGAUGUCCUGAUAUAUUUUAACACCAAAUGAAGCCACAGUUAAAACUUUUCGCAAGAGCAAACUUAGACAUCACAAUCUCCAACAACUUUCUCAUUCCCUAAAAUCAACUUCAAAGUUUUCAUAUGCUUUCUAAACCACUAAAUCCAAAAAUCAAGAUGAAAAUGGAAAAAUGUAGGGCCCAAUAACACAAACUGUCUCAGGGAAUCUAAUAUAUAUGUUCAAUAUGAAAACAAAAGUUUUUCAAAUUUUGUCACAAAUAGAGAGAUCCUGCCAAAACAUGAUUCAAAAGAGAGGCGUGUUGGAAAAUGCAUGGAUAGUUGUUUGUACAUAAGUAGAAGCUGCAGUAGUCCAGAAGGAGAAGCAGAAAAGCACAAAGCAUAGACAACAACUCGUCAAAGAAAUGCAAUUCAAAAUCAAUAUCAACUAACAAUCUACAGUAACAAAACCUUCAUAACCCAAAUUCUGUUUGAAAAUACUUGAAUGGCUAGUUUGAGAGUUUAUGAUAUAAAAAAGGAGUUUGGGGGGGACCUAAUGUAUCAGAGAAAAGAAAAGAAGAGAAGAGAUCAUAAUGUUGUUUGGGGAUUUAAGAAAGAAAUGGAAUGAUUUUGGAUACACAUGUCAUUAAAAUUUUGUUUAGUAGUCAUCCAAGGACAGAACUGAUCCUUUAAAAGAUUUACAAGGCUUUCCCCAACUUUCCAUCCAAAUCAGCCCAUAAAUGGGUGGAAAAAUUUUUAAACUGUACCAAAAAAAUUCAUCCGUCUCAAUCCAGCUAAAUCCGUUCUUUUCUGUCUUUGAAGAAACUGGCAAGUGAAUGAAAAGUUUCCAUUUCUCUCACUUUCUUUUCUUCUCUCAUCCAAUCCUACCUCACAAAACAAACUGUAAACGAGAGGCCCAUUUGGAUUGGGUGUUCUUUGGGGUGUUACUAUAAACCUUUACUGUUAAUAACGUUACUUAAAAACAUACUGGAAUAGGUGUUGUUAGGGAGUUUUUUAAGGUGUUUUAUGCACCGCCAGAUCCCAUCUCCACAACCCUGCCACCUCCCCCUUCUCCGCUUCCUCCUCCCUCCUCCCUACCUGCAAAACUCGUCCUCCCCCUGGCCCUCCCCUCCCCCUUCCCCCACCCCAACAAAACAAAAACUGCCUCCUGCCCCUCCCCGUUCUCACCUCCCCUCCCCAGCAACCACUACCAGACCAGAUCUGGUCAUUAAAGAAGCAGGCCUGAAGGAAGGGGAUACCCCCCCCCGGGGUGGGGUGGGGGUGGAAGAAAGGGGAAGGGUAGCAGUGGGUGGCAGGGGUUGGUGGCAGACAGAUAAUGGGUGAUGAGUGUGUGCAAGUGUCACUCUUUGGGUUAUUUUUUGUGCAUUUUUUAGUUUUUUUUUUAAGUGUCUUUUGGGGGUAUUACUGUUGGUUCUUUUUUUUCUUUUAAUCUUGUUUGGGGGUAUUCUGAAAUAUGCUAAUGUAAAAGGUUAGUUAAUCACAUUAUCCAAAUCCCUUCAGAAAUGGUAACUCAUAAGUAGUUUAUCUAUCUAGGACCAGAAAGAAAAUUUUGUGAAAAAGUCAAAUUAUUAGAUGGUGCAAAGUGGUCAAUGUCACAACGUUGUCCAAGACCUUCACUACUAUAGGUCAAUAAAGAAGAAUCAAGCUAACAAUAAAGCCUACUAGGAAACAGCCCUAACAACUUGAGAGACCUUGAUAAAUUUUAAUAGAAACAAAGACCGAUGUCUAAUUUUAACUUUAUUUGGGAAAAUGAAAAGUUCAAGUGGUGCCUCUGUAGUUGGAUUUUCAACCUUUGAACCAUCCUUGAGUAAUAGAUUGAAGAUAAUUUUAUCAGAAGUGAGUAUACCCAAGGAUACUGGAUAGUUAAGAACCAGGGGCUUCACAAAUUAGGUAGGAACCUGUUAGGUUAUUUACACAAUCACAAAAACCACACAGGGUCACUUGACUAGUAUAAACACUGCAAACCAUUUUCUAGAAGGUAAGGAUAGGGAAAUCUAAUGAUAUUCAAACAUAAAACACUAAUGCAGGAGGCAAUAUAGCAAGCAAUGCACACAAAAAAUCACAACAGUCAGCAAAAUAAUUCAAAGCCAAGCUGACAAAAUGACUUGAGAAAACCAAGAGCACACCUCCUAAUAGAUGAUACAAGAAAUGCCUCCCCGACUUCACAAACAACAUUCUCCGUAUUUCUUGGAAGCAUUAAGAUGUUCCGACCAGCGUGGAUGGAAGCAGCAGGGCUGCUAAGAGCUUUUGGCAGCAACCAGAGAAGAAACCUGGCAGCAGAUACUAAUUCAUUAGAAACAUCCAUCAGAUACAAAAUCAUAGAUAAUUCAUCUUCACCAAGCUUCCAUCGCACAGAGUUUGCAUCAUCAACAGCAGAAUAUGGUCUGCCAUAUUGACCAACUUUUGCUGCAGUCUUUUCAGCUUCUUCAACAAGAUGCUUUACAACACUUAUCAACCAUAACAUCACAGUUCUCUUCUCCACAAGUCGCAUCUUUUUCAGAACUUUUCCAAUUGAAACAAUGUCACUACCAUAUGCCAUUCUGAUCCCAUCCCCAGAUUUUGGAGCAUCACCUUCAACACCAGUUCUAUGGUGUGGGCAGUUCACCCUAUUAUCACAAACAUGACUUGUGGAAGCCCCUUGGCUACCUUCAAUUCUAGCAGCUGCUAACUGUGCAAGGCUUUGUGUUUUACGAACACCCUUUUGCCUCCCCCUUCCAGAUUGCUUGGCUUGCUUAGGAGGUGGAUCCAUUUUGUCGAGAGACUUCGGGCCCCUCCUCAGCCACCAUAUAUCUUCAUCAUCCAAUGCAUUGGAUAAAAAUCCCUGUGGGUAUGAGCUCCUAUCUUCACUCAACUUUUGUCUCUUCACCCUUCUACACUCUUCACAUCCAGGUGUUCCUUCACCAAUAUCGAUCUUGGUAAUAGAAGAUCCCGUAGAUCUCUUAAAACCCCCAACAAAAUUUUCUAGUCCACUGUCACUUGACAGUGAUGAACUAGGAAGCUGCAGCAACAUUACUAUUGAAGCCUUUAGAUCUUCAAGCUCAACAACUUGAUCAACAUUUUUGGUAGUUAAACUGGAUAUCCCCUGAAGAGAUCUCCACUGAUCAACAGAAGAAGGAGAUGCACUGCCACCUCCUGAGUUAUAAUAAUGCUUUUGUUUCUGCCAAGAGCUGCCAGAACUCUUAUGGCAAUCAAGCAGGCCACGAAGUACCAAGCGACGCUCAUUUGCAUAUGUAUUAAUCACCUCCAAAAGCAUUGCUCCUUCAAGAACCUGUGCUUCUUCGAGAGCAUCAUGUACAUAGGAACUAGGAAGCUGCUUCAAAAUUCUAUGAUGUCUCUUCCGUCUCUCCAGGUCAACUGAAAUCCCAUUCCCAUCCAUGAUUCCACUAACAAUUAAUUGCCUCACAUAUGCCUGGGGAUAGAAGAUACCAGCCCUCACAAGUUCCAUUAUGAGUAGUUGAAGCCGCUUGACGCCUUCUCCACUGUGUACUUCAUGUUGAUCAAUCCAGCAGACAAUAAUGUCAUGUAAAGGGCUCGGGCUUUCAAAAAUAUUUGACAAAUUUCUAGUUUUCCCACUCUUUAAACUGUAUUUAUUUUGUUCACAAGCAUUGCCAACAGGAAACCUGCCUGGAUAAUUAUUCUGCAAAUCAGGAUCUUUGGCUAGAGUAUCAGGAGCAAGGCUACUCUCGUUCUUGCCCUGAGACAAGCUUUGCAUCUCUCUCCUCUUGAGCUGCAAAAUCCGUAUAGCAAUAUAUAUCUGAGAGAGGUCUUUUUUCCCAGUGAACUUCUGGCCUGAUGGUGGGCCAGUGCGAAAAUCCCUAAAAUCACAAGUUGCCCACUCACAAAUGAAAAAGAUAGAGGAAAUAAAUGACAAGGUCACUGCUCCAAUAUACUUGAGCGAUGACCGUAGACACAAACUCACUUCAGCAAUCCAACGUUCAUCAACAGCUCCAUCACAAAGAUUUUCAAAAAGAAGUUUAUAUGCCACUGACACAUCUCCGUGAAUAAGAGAUUUAUCUAAUGCCAGUAAAGCUUUAGCUACAUUUUGACUUGGAUGUCCCGGUCUGGCAGCCUUUGCAAGGUUUUCUGCACGUUUCUGAAUAGAUGAAACAAUACAGUUUAUGGUCAAAGAGUCAGGGUGAACCUCAACACCCUUGUCUCUCUGCAAGCAGGCUACUUCAAGGGGACCAGUUUUCAUGUUGCUUUCAUCUUCAGCUAUCUUCAACAAAAAACUCCCAUCAUUGACCACAUUAGUUACCAAACACAAUGGUAAGGGAAAGCAAUCCAAAGCAACAAAAGUAUCAGGAACAGCAAUUAUCAAAUAAUGAAGCAUCUCAACAAGAGCAGACAUGGUAUAAGCCCUUCGGGAAUUAUCUACAAGAUCAGACCCACCAGGAGAAGGUUCUUGAAUAAAACGCAUAGCUAUGCCAACCAGAGUUCGCACGUAGGUCUGACAUAAUACGACGGCUUCGAUUACACCAUAUAUUACAGGCAGUAACAACUGCAAAAUCCCAAGACGCUCUUUUUCCUGGGAAGGCAAAAAAAUGAAAUUACCAACAAAAGUAUUACCAGUUGAUGAAUUUAAUCAAAGUACAAAAUAUUCAAAAUCAUAUGUAGAAUACCUGCAGUUGAUUAAAAACCCAAUCAAUAAUGAGAGAUGGAACAAUCAGUCCUUCUGCAUGGUGCCAUUGUAAGAGCCUAACCACAUACCACCACUUAAAAUGCAAAGAAGGCUCAUCAGCAUCAGUAGAAGUAGAAGCAGCAUCAUUUCGAUGUUGUAGGGUCCCAGGAUAAACCAUUUGUGGUGAUCGAUCCCUAAUAUGCAGAGUGGAAUGAAAAUUAUUUUUCGAAACAAACUCAUCCAAGAGCGCCUGGAGGUAAUCUAUGAUAUCUUUUGUCCACUGCUCUGAUCGGGAAAACUGCGUUUUGUCAGGCACACCACCAGACAAAUUGGAAGAGCCAGGC